Non-coding RNA from Firmicutes bacterium CAG:449, 47 nucleotides. The record is from Rfam. NCBI's taxonomy places the organism in Bacteria, Bacillati, Bacillota.
UAAAAGGUCUCUUUCGAGACCUCAUAAUUUUUUAUUAAGCAGGAAUU